GACGAACGCUGGCGGCGUGCUUAACACAUGCAAGUCGAACGGUGACGCGCCUUGCUUUUUGUUUGGUGUGGAUGAGUGGCGAACGGGUGAGUAACACGUGAGUAACCUGCUCCCUCCUGCUGGAUAACCGCAGGAAAGUUUGGCUAAUACGGGAUAUUCUGUGUCUGUCGCAUGAUGGGUCUGUGAAAGAUAUUGUUUCGGUGUGGGAUGGUCUCGCGUCCUAUCAGCUUGUUGGUGGGGGGAUGGCCUACCAAGGCUGUGACGGGUAGCCGGCCUGAGAGGGUGGACGGUCACACUGGGACUGAGACACGGCCAAGACUGCUACGGGAGGCAGCAGUGGGGAAUAUUGCACGAUGGGCGCAAGCCUGAUGCAGCGACGCCGCGUGAGGGAUGGAGGCCUUCGGGUUGUGAACCUCUUUCGCCAGUGAAGCAGGCCUGCCUCGUUUGUGGGUGGGUUGACGGUAGCUGGAUAAGAAGCGCCGGCUAAGUACGUG
This 494-nucleotide ribosomal RNA is filed under the name uncultured bacterium. RNAcentral's name for it is "partial 16S ribosomal RNA". It matches the Rfam family "Bacterial small subunit ribosomal RNA", at positions 28 to 507 of the family's 1533-position model. The record is from RNAcentral.